UACGUAGGGUGCGAGCGUUAAUCGGAAUUACUGGGCGUAAAGCGUGCGCAGACGGUUGCGUAAGUCAGAUGUGAAAGCCCCGGGCUCAACCUGGGAAUUGCAUUUGAGACUGCGUAGCUAGGGUGCGGAAGAGGGAAGCGGAAUUUCCGGUGUAGCGGUGAAAUGCGUGGAUAUCGGAAGGAACACCAGUGGCGAAAGCGGCUUCCUGGUCCAGCACCGACGUUCAGGCACGAAAGCGUGGGGAGCAAACAGG
This 253-nucleotide ribosomal RNA is filed under the name uncultured bacterium. RNAcentral's name for it is "partial 16S ribosomal RNA". It matches the Rfam family "Bacterial small subunit ribosomal RNA", at positions 524 to 776 of the family's 1533-position model. The record is from RNAcentral.